Molecule: long non-coding RNA, 1407 nt
Organism: Neoarius graeffei (lesser salmon catfish)
Lineage: Eukaryota; Metazoa; Chordata; Actinopteri; Siluriformes; Ariidae
Exons: 3
Source: RefSeq, a predicted model, not a curated record
UGAAACACACAGGUGGAUGCUGGUAAACACCUGGGUGUUGGAGGGAAAAAGGGCAGAACCAGUGGCAAAGCAGGAUGGCGAGCUGGUUUUUGGACAGGACAAAUAAAUAUUAUGGCACUUUGUUGUAGUCAACAUUCUUUUUUAUCUACACCUGCUGGGUCACACGGGUGCUGUCUAAGCAAGAGAGGAGCUUGCUCUAAGCCUGGAGAAGAAAAGAAAACAUAACACAAUAUUCUAGUCCUUUGUUGUGCCAAAUGGUCUGAGCCCUGAAGAUUUGACUCCUAUUAUCCAUGAGUUCAGGGUUUUUUGGGCCUUACCGCCACCGACUGGGCUGGAGUGUGCAGCAGAAGAUGGGGGGGGACACACACGACAUAUUCUUUUAGCUAUUUCUGUUUCUUUUAAAUACUUGAUAAAGUGAUAUAUCUGACUUGAUGUGCUCUGCCAUUUUGUUUUUCUCCACUUAUGCUAUAUGAGCUGAUAGCCUGGUAGUAGAGUAGCCAAUCAGAGUGCGUGAUUGCUCAUAUCCAGUGGAUAUGGGGAGAAUAAUAACUGAUUCAAACAUGGCCGCUCUGAACUACAACACCCAAGAACCACAGCGCCCUCUGUCACCUGACUACUAAUCACUCCACCUGCAGGCCAUAGUACAAUCAGCAACACACCUAUAUAAGCCCCGCUCUCAAACCAGCUCCUUGUGAAGUAUUGUUUGGUGUUCUGUCCCUCUCAUACUGAGCUGUUUGGUUUCUGAGAGCCUUUCCAGUUUAUUGAUCUUGUUUCUGUUUCUUCUCAACCUCAUCUUAUCACUCGUUCUACGUUGCUCUGUUUGUUGAAGGCCCGACACUUGCUAAUUUACUGACAUCGCUUUCUGAAUGCUGAUUUGGAUACCUCUGACAAUUUACAUGACCCCAGUCUCCCCUCUGCCUGCGUCUGGAAGUGCCUGCACUCUGACAGGCAAUAAGCUAGUUGUUGGGAGAGCAAGGAGACUUGGGACAGUUUGUAUUCCCAUAAAUUAAUUUUAACCAAUCAGGUUUUAGAUGACCUCAUAAGUUAAAUGUUGCCCCUUAGAUCCUUAGAGUAACCUACUUCCUUUGGAGCCAUGAAGCUGGACAUUGCAGUAAGGUCUGUGCAGUUCAAUAUUUUUGUCAACCAAAACUUGUAUUUUCUAUUUCACAUCCACCUCCAUUCUAUGGUGUAAUGUACGCUGGUGAGGAAUUAAGAUCUGCAGCCUGGGGUUACCAUGUAUAGUAUUUAUUUAUUAAACUUAAAUUUUGGGGGAAAACAACAUUUAAAGCUGCCCCCCCCCAAUGGCCAGGUUGGGACAGUUCAUCAUGUUACAGAUUUUUUUUUUUUCUUCUUGUGGUUGACAAAGGGUGUUUUCACACUUGGUCCCUUUCAGCCAUCUAACCCAAC